Molecule: RNA transcript, 520 nt
Organism: Eutrema salsugineum
Lineage: Eukaryota; Viridiplantae; Streptophyta; Magnoliopsida; Brassicales; Brassicaceae
Gene name: elicitor peptide 2
Exons: 2
Source: RefSeq, a predicted model, not a curated record
AUGGAAUUGGUUGUGUCAAUGUUAUAAAAUGGACAUUCGUAGACAUUUGAAGCAAAAGCAUCACAUCACUGCUCAAACAUAGGUUUACACAUAUAAUCCGAGAGAAGAAACAAUAAUUAGAUUUCAAUGGAGGAAGAGAGAAGAAACGAAGAAGAAAGCUCUCAUCAUCUUUGUAUCCCUUUUCAAUUCAUUAACGAAGCCCUCAACACCUUCCUCAACUGUAUUGGUUUUCAUAUUUCUCCUUCAACUUCUUCGCCAUCUUCGGAGGAGGAGGCUACGAACGAGGUUGUGCCAACGACAAGGGGACUAAUAGUCAAAUCAAAGGGAAGGCCGAGAGAGACGGCUAGCUCAGGAAAGCCAGGCCGCCGUAACUAAUUAAUGAUUUCAUUAAUUGUUUUUCUAUUUUCUUUUGUAAUGGCCCCUAAAUCAUUAGAAAGAGAUUGUGUUUGCACUUGCGUGCAGUUGACAUCAGAUCAUAAACAUAUAUCGUUAUGUAUUAUAUUUUCAGAACAUUAUAAAU